This 253-nucleotide ribosomal RNA is filed under the name uncultured bacterium. Its description in RNAcentral is "partial 16S ribosomal RNA". It matches the Rfam family "Bacterial small subunit ribosomal RNA", at positions 524 to 776 of the family's 1533-position model. The record is from RNAcentral.
UACAGAGGGGGCAAGCGUUGUUCGGAAUUACUGGGCGUAAAGGGCGCGUAGGCGGCCUUCUAAGUCAGACGUGAAAUUCCCCGGCUUAACCUGGGAACUGCGUCUGAUACUGGGAGGCUUGAGUAUGGGAGAGGGAUGUAGAAUUCCAGGUGUAGCGGUGAAAUGCGUAGAUAUCUGGAGGAAUACCGGUGGCGAAGGCGGCAUCCUGGACCAUAACUGACGCUGAGGCGCGAAAGCUAGGGGAGCAAACGGG